This is an RNA transcript of Prunus persica (peach), 4811 nucleotides long. RefSeq lists it as uncharacterized. The record is from RefSeq and is a predicted model, not a curated record. The transcript has 16 exons. NCBI's taxonomy places the organism in Eukaryota, Viridiplantae, Streptophyta, Magnoliopsida, Rosales, Rosaceae.
AAUCGACCAGUCUCUCAGCUGGAAGGUCUGAGCAUGAGGACAAAGGUGAUUUUGCAAUCUCACCAAAGCAUUUCAAAGUUGCUUGGGUGAAGUUGAUGACUGUGUGCAUUGCAGUACUACAACAACAAAAUAGCGCAAUUACAUCUAUCCAUGGACUUUGAGAUAGAAACAAGGCUUUUGAAUUAGUAAUGGGAGGUGACUGUUUGUGCUUGAACGAAGGCUUGCCAUUGCCCUUGCUGCUGUUGUGGGACAGAGCCAGCGUAUAUGUACAGAAGUUACGAACAACACAGAAUGUUGACUGACUUUGAAGGUGCUACAAGAAAAACAAAGUAGGGUUCUGCAUUUGGUCUAGCAAAGAGUGUAUGGCUGAAAAGUUUCGGAGCUGCAUUUGGAGCCUCAUUUAUUUGGCUUGCGGGCUUGAUUUACUUCCCCAGCCGUGCCAUUUGUCUGAAAUAAUCCUCCGAAGCGAACCAUAGCAUCAUCUGAAGACCAUCUCCUCCAAGUCGCCAUCUCUUCCGAGGCCUCCUUAGAAAGUUAGAGCUUCCAAAAGUACAAGAAGAUAGUACAAUAUUACAGUCUUUUACGUAUGCCUUAUCAUUCACAUGUAUGCCUUAUCAUUCACAUCUAAAUCCAAUCCGAGCUUGAGAAUCCUGUGGGUCCUUUGAUAAAUCCACAAUGUAGAGUUUUAUUUUUAGCACAGAAGGAUUGCUCUCUUUCCUCAAGUGUCUGGUGUCCUCCAAAUCUAGGUCUUAACACUGUUUUCUACGAACCGAAGAGGCAGCUAGGGCUCAUGAUCAGUUCUCAUGUGUACUUUCAUAGGUUGUGUAAAUCAAGUCUGCAUCAUCUUCUAUACAUUGGAAUCGCAUGUGGUAAUUAUUCAUAGGUGAUGGUUAUUUUUCCCAAGUGUUCGGUAGCAAUCUCCCUCACAAAAGCUAAUAUUAGACCGGCUUCUUCCAUCAUUUCACCAAAUCCAAUCAAUUGAACAUGUUUAACGCUUGUCAAACACCAUCCCACAUUAUAUUUUGGGGAUUCCAAUUUCUUGCCCUUUCGAACAUCUUCCCUAUCUACCAAUUCGAGAUCCAAUCUCUGUAAAUUAGGAAGGUGUGCGAGCAAGUAUGGCAUGAACAACCAACCAGAAGAAUUUGCCAAAAAAAGUGACUAAAAAUUAAACUGCAUCUUCAUAAGCUACAGCUUGAUAGAGGACAAGAAAGUGUACCUUGCUGUUGGAAGCCUCUAUGAAGUUGAAAUUGAUGCCCCACAACUAGAUGUUCUUGAAAUAGAAGAAUCGGUUUUUGUGAAGUUUAAGAUUGGAAACUUCAAGCAUCUCCGAGAAGCAAGGUUUCAAAGUGGCUUCUACGAAGCAAAGAGGCAACUAGGAGAAGUGGGAGAACUUCUCGUUCUUUUGCGAGAAAUAUUUUCUACGAUUAACACAACAUCAAUAGAAACUAAAUCAUACCUUGAAAGCACCAUCUCCGACAACCAAGCAGCUAGUAGAUAUUGACGUUGUGUUAAUCGUAGAAAAUAUUUCUCGCAGAAGAAUGAUUAGUUCGCCCACUUCUCCUAGUUGCCUCUUUGCUUCGUAGAAGCCACUUUGAAGCCUUGCUUCUCGGAGAUGCUUGAAGUUUCCAAUCUUAAACUUCGCAAAAAUCGAUUCUUCAAUUUCAAGAACAUCUAUUGUGGGGCAUCGAUUUCAACUUCAUAGAGGCUUCCAGCAGCAAGGUACACUUCUUGUCCUCUAUCAAGCUGUAGCUUAUGAAGAUGCAGUUUAAUUUUUAGUCACUUUUUUUAGCAGAUUUUUCUGGUUGGUUGUUCAUGCCAUACUUGCUCGCACACCUUCCUAAUUUACAGAGAUUGGAUCUCGAAUUGGUAGAUAGGGAAGAUGUUCGAAAGGGCAAGAAAUUGGAAUCCCCCAAAAUAUAAUGUGGGAUGGUGUUUGACAAGCGUUAAACGUGUUCGAUUGAUUGGAUUUGGUGAAAUGAUGGAAGAAGAUUGAUUGGAUUUGGUGAAAUGAUGGAAGAAGCCGGUCUAAUAUUAGCUUUUGUGAGGGAGACUGCUACCGAAGAACACUUUGGAAAAAUAACCAUUACCACAUGCAAUUCCAAUGUAUAGAAGAUGAUGCAGACUUGAUUUACACGGCCUAAGAAAGUACACAAGAGAACUGAUCAUGAGGAAACACAAAUCUAUAUUGACUGUACCAGUAUUUUAGACAAAUGGCACGGUUGACAACUCUCACAUCAUUGAGGUGGUACGGCCCGUUGGAGCAUAAUAAGAGUCUAAACCGCCCCUUUUCUAGGGAUCAGGUUGAAGGUGCCUUGAAUCAAAUGUUCCCUACCAAAUCGCCAGGAGUAUAUGGCAUGCCUGCUUUGUUUUAUUAGAAGUACUGGGAUAUAGUGGCUUUCUAUGUAAAUAUUCUGAAUGAGGGAGCCAAUGUGAAGGAAGUGAACCAGACGCUCGACUCUCAUCCCGAAGGUGCACAGGCCAGUGAAGGUUACUGAGUUUCGACCAAUCAAUUUAUGCACAGUGCUAUAUAAAAUUAUAUCUAAAUCUUUGGUGAACAGAUUGAAUCCGAUCAUGCUUUUUAUUAUUUCUGAAUAUCGUAGUGCCUUUGUUCCUGGAAGGAUUAUCACUGAUAAAAUUAUAGCGGCUUUUGAGAGUAUCCAUGCUAUUAAACGGCGGGGUGGAAGUAAGCUGAAGAAGAUGAUCCUCAAGCUUGAUAUGUCAAAAGCGUAUGACCGGGUAGAAUGGGAUUUUUUAGAAGCUAUGUUCAGCAGAUUGGGUUUUAAUGCCAGAUGGGUUAACAUGAUUAUGGAUUGUAUUUCUACGGUUUCUUAUUCAAUUCAGGUGAAUGGAGAAGCUACGGGUAUGAUUGUGCCAACAAGGGGUUUGCGCCAGGGAGAUCCACUGCCCCCUUACUUGUUCCUAAUUUGUGCUGAAGGUUUAUUGGCGCUGCUGUCAAAUGCCCUCAGAUUGAAACGUAUUAAGGGGUUUCUGUGGUGCAGGGAGCUCCCAUUCUCUCCCAUUUAUUUUUUGCUGAUGACAGUUUACUUUUCUAUAAUGUGCAUUUAUCUGAAGUGUCUAAUUUGCUUCAGAUGCUCAGUGUGUACAAACAGGCAUCUGGUCAAAUGAUUAAUUUCGACAAGUCCGCUGCCUGUUUUAGUCUCAAGACUGAUCCUAUCACAAAGCAACUAAUCUCGGACAUGCUUGGGGUUAGAAUUGUGGUUUGCCAUGAGAGAUAUCUGGGGCUACCUACACUUACCCAACGAAACAAAAAUAAGAUGUUCAGCCAUGUUCAUGACAUGUGGCAGAAAUUAUCUACUUGGAAUUCAAAAUUGUUGUCAACAGCAGGUAAAGGGGUAUUUAUAAAAGCAGUGGGGCAAGCGCUACCUACUUAUACAAAAUUGUUGUCGCCUUACAUUUGCUUUUUCAAGGGCAGAGUAAAGCCCAAAGGCGAUUUACAAGAAAAGGAAACUGGAGUGCAGUGGCAGAUUUUGAAGCGAUGGGAGGUGCCCUGGGAAUGGCAAACAGUGUCCUUAACAUCACUUGCUUGUGGACUGAGGCAGUUUUAUUUUGACAGGAUUGGUAGAGACAGCAGCUGUACCGUAUUUAGGACUUCGAGUUCAAGAUUUGAGUAUAGAUGAAAAGGCAGAGAUACUGUUUCUUGAUCAAGGUAUUACAACUGCAGCUAUACUUGCAGUUUUGUAUACUGUUGCCAGCACUUUCCAACCGCUGCCUCAAGACGUUUAUCGCUGUUGUACUGAUUUUUCCAACUCCUUUUUUACUUUAUAGUAAGACAACAAAGACACAUACACACACACAGAGAGAUUCUGGUUUGUUUAAGCCUAUAUCUAGACUGUGAAGAUUUGAAGGACCCUUUCAGUCUACAGAAGGGGUGGCUUUUGUGGGCAGGGAUUGGUCUUGCUGGUGCAAUAGCUGCCAUCGCAGUGACAGAGGCUGCUGCGUCCUUGUUCAGGGGGGAGAGCCCAGAGAACGAGUUCGUACCCUAUGAUUUCUCUCUCGUUAUAAAGUGCAGCGGACACAAAUUCUAUGAUUCUUCAGGAUCAAUUCCACCAUGUAAGGAAUCAUAUAUGUGAUUUUACUUGGUUUCAGAAGGACGCUCUAGUUAGCUUGCUUCCACUGAUUGGAUCUUCAAGUGUCAGCACUGCUUGCUUGUUGGGCAUCACUGGGGUUUUGGCUCCAAUUCUUGAGGAAACUGUAUUUCGGGGGUUUUUUUUUAUGGUCUCCAUGACUGAGUGGGUACCUACACCAGUUGCUAUUGGAAUAGGUGCAGCUGUAUUUGCACUUGCACAUCUCACUCCGGGAGAGUUUCCACAGCUGUUUGUGCUAGGCUCUGCUCUGGAAUUGUCAUAUGCUCAUACUUGCAACCUUUUAACCCCCAUCACAAUACAUGCUCUCUGGAACUCAGGAGUGAUAUUGCUUCUGACCUUCCUUCAGCUACAAGGGUACGUUGUUUGUGUGCUGCAGACAACCUGAUAGGAGUAGGAGUUUCUUUUUCAUUGAUGAUACAGUGCAUUUUCUAAGGGGUCCAUAAAAGUUACAAGCGUCUGUAAGGCCUGCAAGGAUUACUUAAAAGUCGCCAUAGUUUAGAAUAUUUUUUUUCUCUGGUUUUUUGUUUCUUGGUGGUGGUUACCCAUAUCCCAGUCAUGAGUUUGUAUUAGAGACCUUGAACUACUUUCGUCUCUAACAAUGGAGACACAGAACGGAAUGGGUGGGUGGGUCAUUGAUUUGUAUAUUGUGAAUUGAAGACGAUAGUGAAGGGUUCAAUAUUAUCCUAUUUUUUGUUUUUUGUUGCA